This is a long non-coding RNA of Micropterus dolomieu (smallmouth bass), 734 nucleotides long. RefSeq lists it as uncharacterized. The record is from RefSeq and is a predicted model, not a curated record. The transcript is spliced from 2 exons. Lineage: Eukaryota; Metazoa; Chordata; Actinopteri; Centrarchiformes; Centrarchidae.
CAAUUCUCAGACUGAAUGUUGAACAUCAGCUAGUUUCUCCUGUUGAUUUAAACCUUGUUGUAGAGAUGGAACAUUGGCUGGGGAUUAUUCUUGCUGCUCUUUUCUUUGGACUAAUAGCUGGAGACACAAUCUCUCCUGUACGAGAGGAAGUCAGUGAAAGAGAAGGACAAUCUGUCACACUCACAUGCAACUAUCAGACAGCUGCUACUAAUAUUUGGCUUUACUGGUACAAACAUCAUUCUGACCUUCAGGCACCUCAGUUUAUACUCUGGAAAGGAGCAAAAUCAUCGAGUGAUUAUAAGUAUAUUCCUGAUAGAAGAUAUGAAUCUGAAACAUCAGCAACAUCAACUACACUGACCAUCAGAGAUCUAACCCUGGCAGACACAGCUCUCUACUACUGUGCUCUAGAAACACAGUGAUACAAAGUGUAGAAGAGGCUGUACAAAAACCUGAACCCAGAUAUCUGACUACUCUUCAAAGAGGAGGGAAGUGGUAUUCAAACCACAGCUUCAUAUCAGAUGGAUUCUGCUAAUUCCUGUUUUAUCAGAGUCACUGUGGUUCCAGCUGCUAAUGAAACACUGGGGGAGGAUUCACAGGAGCAGCAAAUCCACAUCAGAGAGAAACCACCUGCAGGAUCCUCAAUAAGGAGAAUAUUAGUAAUAUGUCAGACCUAAUGUUCAGCAUGUCUAACUAUACAUUCCAACAUUUAGCUAAAUAAAUGAUUUGACACCCAA